RNAcentral lists this small nuclear RNA (290 nucleotides) under Myotis brandtii (Brandt's bat). RNAcentral's name for it is "7SK RNA". It matches the Rfam family "7SK RNA". Rfam says of the family: 7SK was discovered as an abundant small nuclear RNA in the mid-70s but a possible function has only recently been suggested. Two independent studies have found that 7SK RNA binds the CDK9/cyclin T complex (known as elongation factor P-TEFb). Lineage: Eukaryota; Metazoa; Chordata; Mammalia; Chiroptera; Vespertilionidae. The record is from Rfam by way of RNAcentral.
GGAAACGAGCCAUCUGGCAUAGACAUCUGCCAUAACAUUGACCUUCAGGGUAUCUUGGCUGCUCUGCCUGACCCGGCAGGUGCCUACAUCUUUCUUCAUAACUCUUAGUUGUUCUUCCACAUUGGCCACCUUUUCUCAUAUAGAAGAGAGUGUUUUUAAUUAAGGUUAUAGGAACAUGAAUGUAACUUUUUAGAACCUCUAAAAUCAGAUUUAAAAGACCAUAAAAAGUACAAUUAUUUUCAGAAAAUAAUUAUUUCCAGAAAAUUCACUAUAGAUAGUAAUUUUUCACU